AAUGAACGUUGGCGGCGUGGAUUAGGCAUGCAAGUCGCGCGAGAAAUUUUCUUCGGAGAAUGGAAAGCGGCGGAAGGGAGAGGAUAAAGUAGAAAUCUACCCUCGGGACGGGGAUAGCUGCGGGAAACUGCUGGUAAUACCCGAUAAUGUCUUCGGACCAAAGGUGUGAUUCCGUCUGGGGAUGAGCCCACGUCCUAUUAGCUAGUUGGUAGGGUAAUGGCCUACCAAGGCAAUGAUGGGUAGCGAGUGUGAGAGCAUGACCCGCCUCACUGGGAAUGAGAACUGCCCAGACACCUACGGGUGGCUGCAGUCGAGAAUCUUCGGCAAUGAGCGCAAGCUUGACCGAGCGACGCCGCGUGCGGGAUGAAGGCCUUCGGGUUGUAAACCGCUGUCGUAGGGGAGCAAGAGAUGAAGGUACUCCUUCAAAUUUGAGCGAUCCUAGGAGGAAGGACGGGCUAAGUUCGUGCCAGCCGCCGCGGUAA
This 482-nucleotide ribosomal RNA is filed under the name uncultured bacterium. RNAcentral describes it as "partial 16S ribosomal RNA". It matches the Rfam family "Bacterial small subunit ribosomal RNA", at positions 29 to 523 of the family's 1533-position model. The record is from RNAcentral.